RNAcentral lists this ribosomal RNA (402 nucleotides) under uncultured bacterium. Its description in RNAcentral is "bacterial SSU rRNA". It matches the Rfam family "Bacterial small subunit ribosomal RNA", at positions 355 to 774 of the family's 1533-position model. The record is from RNAcentral.
UGGGGAAUAUUGCACAAUGGGCGAAAGCCUGAUGCAGCAACGCCGCGUGAGUGAUGAAGGCCUUCGGGUUGUAAGGCUCUGUCUUCUGGGACGAUAAUGACGGUACCAGAGGAGGAAGCCACGGCUAACUACGUGCCAGCAGCCGCGGUAAUACGUAGGUGGCAAGCGUUGUCCGGAUUUACUGGGCGUAAAGGAUGCGUAGGCGGAUACUUAAGUCAGAUGUGAAAAUCCCGGGCUUAACUUGGGAACUGCAUUUGAAAUUGGGUCUCUAGAGUGCGGGAGAGGAAAGUGGAAUUCCUAGUGUAGCGGUGAAAUGCGUAGAGAUUAGGAAGAACACCAGUGGCGAAGGCGACUUUCUGGACCGUAACUGACGCUGAGGCAUGAAAGCGUGGGGAGCAAACA